AGUGAACGCUGGCGGUAGGCCUAACACAUGCAAGUCGAACGGCAGCACAGUAAGAGCUUGCUCUUACAGGUGGCGAGUGGCGGACGGGUGAGGAAUACAUCGGAAUCUACUUUUUCGUGGGGGAUAACGUAGGGAAACUUACGCUAAUACCGCAUACGACCUACGGGUGAAAGCAGGGGAUCUUCGGACCUUGCGCGAUUGAAUGAGCCGAUGUCGGAUUAGCUAGUUGGCGGGGUAAAGGCCCACCAAGGCGACGAUCCGUAGCUGGUCUGAGAGGAUGAUCAGCCACACUGGAACUGAGACACGGUCCAGACUCCUACGGGAGGCAGCAGUGGGGAAUAUUGGACAAUGGGCGCAAGCCUGAUCCAGCCAUACCACGUGGGUGAAGAAGGCCUUCGGGUUGUAAAGCCCUUUUGUUGGGAAAGAAAUCCAGCCGGCUAAUACCUGGUUGGGAUGACGGUACCCAAAGAAUAAGCACCGGCUAACUUCGUG
RNAcentral lists this ribosomal RNA (492 nucleotides) under uncultured bacterium. RNAcentral's name for it is "partial 16S ribosomal RNA". It matches the Rfam family "Bacterial small subunit ribosomal RNA", at positions 29 to 507 of the family's 1533-position model. The record is from RNAcentral.